UGCUUCGGUAACUGAGCUAGCGGCGGACGGGUGAGUAAUGCUUAGGAAUCUGCCUAUUAGUGGGGGACAACAUUCCGAAAGGAAUGCUAAUACCGCAUACGCCCUACGGGGGAAAGCAGGGGAUCUUCGGACCUUGCGCUAAUAGAUGAGCCUAAGUCAGAUUAGCUAGUUGGUGGGGUAAAGGCCUACCAAGGCGACGAUCUGUAGCGGGUCUGAGAGGAUGAUCCGCCACACUGGGACUGAGACACGGCCCAGACUCCUACGGGAGGCAGCAGUGGGGAAUAUUGGACAAUGGGCGCAAGCCUGAUCCAGCCAUGCCGCGUGUGUGAAGAAGGCCUUUUGGUUGUAAAGCACUUUAAGCGAGGAGGAGGCUACUUGGAUUAAUACUCUAGGAUAGUGGACGUUACUCGCAGAAUAAGCACCGGCUAACUCUGUGCCAGCAGCCGCGGUAAUACAGAGGGUGCGAGCGUUAAUCGGAUUUACUGGGCGUAAAGCGUGCGUAGGCGGCUUCUUAAGUCGGAUGUGAAAUCCCUGAGCUUAACUUAGGAAUUGCAUUCGAUACUGGGAAGCUAGAGUAUGGGAGAGGAUGGUAGAAUUCCAGGUGUAGCGGUGAAAUGCGUAGAGAUCUGGAGGAA
RNAcentral lists this ribosomal RNA (635 nucleotides) under Acinetobacter courvalinii. RNAcentral's name for it is "bacterial SSU rRNA". It matches the Rfam family "Bacterial small subunit ribosomal RNA", at positions 76 to 706 of the family's 1533-position model. Lineage: Bacteria; Pseudomonadati; Pseudomonadota; Gammaproteobacteria; Moraxellales; Moraxellaceae. The record is from RNAcentral.